This 253-nucleotide ribosomal RNA is filed under the name uncultured bacterium. RNAcentral describes it as "partial 16S ribosomal RNA". It matches the Rfam family "Bacterial small subunit ribosomal RNA", at positions 524 to 776 of the family's 1533-position model. The record is from RNAcentral.
UACAGAGGGGGCAAGCGUUAUUCGGAAUUAUUGGGCGUAAAGGGCGCGUAGGCGGCUUUUCAAGUGACGGGUGAAAGCCCUCGGCUUAACCGAGGAACUGCCUGUCAGACUGGAAGGCUUGAGACCGGGAGAGGUGAGUGGAAUUCCCAGUGUAGCGGUGAAAUGCGUAGAUAUUGGGAGGAACACCAGUGGCGAAGGCGGCUCACUGGACCGGAACUGACGCUGAGACGCGAAAGCGUGGGGAGCAAACAGG